Molecule: small nucleolar RNA, 129 nt
Organism: Lineus longissimus
Lineage: Eukaryota; Metazoa; Nemertea; Pilidiophora; Heteronemertea; Lineidae
Source: RefSeq, a predicted model, not a curated record
AUGCAGAGAAUGAUCAUUGGCAGGUUUUUCUCUUGACCUGCCGUGCUGGAACCCUCUGCUACAUCAAUACACAUUUUAAUCAUUGGUUGGCUUACUGUAGCCCUCCAACUUUGCACGAUGUGGACAGCU